Molecule: ribosomal RNA, 43 nt
Filed under: Blumea balsamifera
Lineage: Eukaryota; Viridiplantae; Streptophyta; Magnoliopsida; Asterales; Asteraceae
Description: partial 28S ribosomal RNA
Source: RNAcentral
CGACCCCAGGUCAGGUGGGACCGCUGAGUUUAAGCAUAUCAAU